This is a non-coding RNA of Lipotes vexillifer (Yangtze River dolphin), 74 nucleotides long. NCBI's taxonomy places the organism in Eukaryota, Metazoa, Chordata, Mammalia, Artiodactyla, Lipotidae. The record is from the annotation of a RefSeq genome assembly.
UCCUCUGGUGGUCCAGUGGGUAAGACUCUGCACUCCCAAUGCAGGGGGCCCAGGUUCAAUCCCUGGUCGGGGAA